Molecule: non-coding RNA, 72 nt
Organism: Phrynosoma platyrhinos (Desert horned lizard)
Lineage: Eukaryota; Metazoa; Chordata; Lepidosauria; Squamata; Phrynosomatidae
Source: the annotation of a GenBank genome assembly
GCCAGUGUGGCGUAGUGGUUUGAGUGUUGUACUAGGACUAUGGAGGCCAGAGUUCGACUCCCAGCUCGGUCA